GGAAUAUUGGACAAUGGGCGGAAGCCUGAUCCAGCCAUGCCGCGUGCAGGAAGACGGUCCUAUGGAUUGUAAACUGCUUUUGUACGGGAAGAACAAGGGCCACGUGUGGCCCGAUGACGGUACCGUAAGAAUAAGGAUCGGCUAACUCCGUUCCCGCAGCCGCGGUAAUACGGAGGAUCCGAGCGUUAUCCGGAAUCAUUGGGUUUAAAGGGUCCGUAGGCGGGCCGUUAAGUCAGGGGUGAAAGUCUGCAGCUCAACUGUAGAACUGCCCUUGAUACUGACGGCCUUGAGUUGCGGUGAAGUGGCCGGAAUAUGUAGUGUAGCGGUGAAAUGCAUAGAUAUUACAUAGAACACCGAUUGCGAAGGCAGGUCACUAACCGCACACUGACGCUGAUGGACGAAAGCGUGGGGAGCGAA
Molecule: ribosomal RNA, 417 nt
Filed under: uncultured bacterium
Lineage: Bacteria
Description: bacterial SSU rRNA
Rfam family: Bacterial small subunit ribosomal RNA
Source: RNAcentral